CAGUGGAACGAGACAGCUUCGGCUGUCGAGUCGCGAACGGCUGAGUAACACGUAGGAAUCUACCCCAUGGUGUGGAAUACCCUCGAGAAAUCGAGGCUAAUACCGCAUAACAUCUCCGGAUAAAAGGGCAUAACUGCCCGCCGAGGGAGGAGCCUGCGGCCCAUCAGUUUGUUGGUAGGGUAAUGGCCUACCAAGACAUCGACGGGUAGGGGGCGUGAGAGCGUGUACCCCCAGAAUGGCACUGAGAUACGGGCCAUACACCUACGGGUGGCAGCAACCGGGAAUCGUGCGCAAUGGACGAAAGUCUGACGCCGCGACGCCGCGUGAGGGAUGAAGGCCUGUGGGUCGUAAACCUCUUUUGACGCAACGGAGACGUUGCGUAGAAUAAGCACCGGCUAACUACGUGCCAGCAGCAGCGGUGAUACGUAGGGUGCAAGCGUUAUCCGGAUUUAUUGGGCGUAAAGCGUUUCGUAGGCUGUUUUUUAAGUCGUGCUUUAAAUACCAGAGCUUAACUCUGGAAGGGGGCACGAUACUAACUAACUAGGAUGAUUUCGGGGCUACUGGAACUGUCGGUGUAGGGGUGAAAUCCGUUGAUAUCGACAGGAACACCGAGGG
This 615-nucleotide ribosomal RNA is filed under the name uncultured bacterium. RNAcentral describes it as "bacterial SSU rRNA". It matches the Rfam family "Bacterial small subunit ribosomal RNA", at positions 59 to 715 of the family's 1533-position model. The record is from RNAcentral.